RNAcentral lists this transfer RNA (85 nucleotides) under Felis catus (domestic cat). It matches the Rfam family "tRNA". Rfam says of the family: Transfer RNA (tRNA) molecules are approximately 80 nucleotides in length. Lineage: Eukaryota; Metazoa; Chordata; Mammalia; Carnivora; Felidae. The record is from Rfam by way of RNAcentral.
GCCUGAGCGGCUCAGUCAGUUAAGCAUCUGACUUCAGCUCAGGUCAUGAUCUUGCAGUUCGUGGGUUCGAGCCCCGCAUCGGGCU